Molecule: ribosomal RNA, 568 nt
Filed under: uncultured bacterium
Lineage: Bacteria
Description: bacterial SSU rRNA
Rfam family: Bacterial small subunit ribosomal RNA
Source: RNAcentral
CCAGACUCCUACGGGAGGCAGCAGCGGGGAAUAUUGGACAAUGGGCGCAAGCCUGAUCCAGCCAUACCGCGUGGGUGAAGAAGGCCUUCGGGUUGUAAAGCCCUUUUGUUGGGAAAGAAAUCCAGCUGGCUAAUACCCGGUUGGGAUGACGGUACCCAAAGAAUAAGCACCGGCUAACUUCGUGCCAGCAGCCGCGGUAAUACGAAGGGUGCAAGCGUUACUCGGAAUUACUGGGCGUAAAGCGUGCGUAGGUGGUCGUUUAAGUCCGUUGUGAAAGCCCUGGGCUCAACCUGGGAACUGCAGUGGAUACUGGGCGACUAGAGUGUGGUAGAGGGUAGCGGAAUUCCUGGUGUAGCAGUGAAAUGCGUAGAGAUCAGGAGGAACAUCCAUGGCGAAGGCAGCUACCUGGACCAACACUGACACUGAGGCACGAAAGCGUGGGGAGCAAACAGGAUUAGAUACCCUGGUAGUCCACGCCCUAAACGAUGCGAACUGGAUGUUGGGUGCAAUUUGGCACGCAGUAUCGAAGCUAACGCGUUAAGUUCGCCGCCUGGGGAGUACGGUCGCA